Molecule: ribosomal RNA, 253 nt
Filed under: uncultured bacterium
Lineage: Bacteria
Description: partial 16S ribosomal RNA
Rfam family: Bacterial small subunit ribosomal RNA
Source: RNAcentral
UACAGAGGUCCCAAGCGUUGUUCGGAUUCAUUGGGCGUAAAGGGUGCGUAGGCGGCGCGGUAAGUCGGGUGUGAAAUCUCGGGGCUUAACUCCGAAACUGCAUUCGAUACUGCCGUGCUUGAGGACUGGAGAGGAGACUGGAAUUUACGGUGUAGCGGUGAAAUGCGCAGAUAUCGGGAAGAACACCCGUGGCGAAGGCGGUUCUCUGGGACGGUACUGACGCUGAGGUGCGAAAGCGUGGGGAGCAAACAGG